RNAcentral lists this ribosomal RNA (71 nucleotides) under Gabonius ngouniensis. RNAcentral describes it as "partial 26S ribosomal RNA". It matches the Rfam family "Eukaryotic large subunit ribosomal RNA", at positions 1 to 67 of the family's 3401-position model. Lineage: Eukaryota; Viridiplantae; Streptophyta; Magnoliopsida; Fabales; Fabaceae. The record is from RNAcentral.
GAUGCGACCUCAGCUCAGGCGGGGCUACCCGCUGAGUUUAAGCAUAUCAAUAAGCGGAGGAAAAGAAACUA